AUUGAACGCUGGCGGCAGGCCUAACACAUGCAAGUCGAACGGCAGCACAGAAGAGCUUGCUCUUUGGGUGGCGAGUGGCGGACGGGUGAGUAAUGUCUGGGAAACUGCCCGAUGGAGGGGGAUAACUACUGGAAACGGUAGCUAAUACCGCAUAACGUCGCGAGACCAAAGUGGGGGACCUUCGGGCCUCACACCAUCGGAUGUGCCCAGAUGGGAUUAGCUAGUAGGUGGGGUAAUGGCUCACCUAGGCGACGAUCCCUAGCUGGUCUGAGAGGAUGACCAGCCACACUGGAACUGAGCCACGGUCCAGACUCCGACGGGAGGCAGCAGUGGGGGAUAUUGCCCAAUGGGCGCAAGCCUGAUGCAGCCAUGCCGCGUGUAUGAAGAAGGCCUUCGGGUUGUAAAGUACUUUCAGCGGGGAGGAAGGCGGUGAGGUUAAUAGCCUCGCCGAUUGACGUUACCCGCAGAAGAAGCACCGGCUAACUCCGUGCCAGCCGCCGCUGUAA
RNAcentral lists this ribosomal RNA (506 nucleotides) under uncultured bacterium. Its description in RNAcentral is "partial 16S ribosomal RNA". It matches the Rfam family "Bacterial small subunit ribosomal RNA", at positions 29 to 523 of the family's 1533-position model. The record is from RNAcentral.